RNAcentral lists this ribosomal RNA (327 nucleotides) under Triticum aestivum (bread wheat). RNAcentral describes it as "partial small subunit ribosomal RNA". Lineage: Eukaryota; Viridiplantae; Streptophyta; Magnoliopsida; Poales; Poaceae. The record is from RNAcentral.
AUGAUUAGCAUUCCACCAACUAUAUUCCAUAUAUAUAUAUGUAUUCUUCAGUUCAACAAGGAUGCUGAUAUGAUGAUUGAGGAAAUGAAGCUUAGAGUUGUCUACACAUUGCCCAGUGGAAGCUCAGACAACAACGGAGUUACAUCUUUGGCAUACAGGAGCUUCAGGAACUUCAAGCAGGGCACUAUGAUUUCUCGAAUAUUAGGACAAACUUUGGGUGGCACUAGGUGCAGCAAAAAAUGGUGCCAUGGCAGCGGAAUUGGACUGAUGCUACAGUUCCCACUUUUAAAGGUUCGGUUGACCUUUUCCAUGUCAUUUAUCUUGUGA